Molecule: non-coding RNA, 844 nt
Organism: Physcomitrium patens
Lineage: Eukaryota; Viridiplantae; Streptophyta; Bryopsida; Funariales; Funariaceae
Source: RefSeq, a predicted model, not a curated record
AUUAUAUUGUAAGACUUACAUAAAUCCACUUCUAACCGUGGUGCUAUUUGAAGGUAAUUCUUUGCGGGUUAACGCUGCCGAUGCUCUACAUCUUCAUUACUGUAACCGAAUCAGUCGCAAUUAUUCAAGCCGCAGAUUGAGGAGUCACAGCUAUGAAAGGCCUAAAUAUUUCUUCGCCUUAAGAGUCCAGUUCGCUGCCCACGGCCUAUCAAAAACCUUCGCAAACUCCAUGUGUUCUUUCUCAGAUUGAGUUCUCGUUUUAGUUACUGCCAGGGAUUUUCGCACUGGUUGUGGCUUCUCUAGUCCCUCUCCCUCCUUUUCUUCUUCCUUUCUUAUGUCCUCUUUCUCCUUAGUUUUAGACAUCGUCGUUGAUUUCACUGAUUUCGAGCUGAAAAAAACUUGGAUUGUAUCGGCAUCCCGCCACAGAGAACAAAUUUGUUCCUUUUGAUUCUUCACACAUGAUACUCUGAGCUACUCCAUCUCUUUAGAAUUUCCGAUAGGACAUAGUAUCACCAGUUUGUCAGGAUUGUUGAUGUUACAACACUUCAGCGCUGCAAGAGCCUGUCAAUUGUUUACUCUGGAAGUGCGCACUUUCAACAUGGUUUAUCAUCGUGCAUGACGUACAGUAAAUUUUAGCAUCAAAGCUAUCGCCCAAUUAUUAGCAAACCACAAGAAGAAAAAAAAUCGUUCAGAUUUGUAAAAUUUUGCAAAUCUUAAGCAAUACGCAAGCGAAUUGCAGAAUUUGACAAUAUCCCAAGGCAACUCAAAUUCGAUUUAAAUCUUCACCAUAAUCUGGACAACAAGAAACCAGCCAUCCAAAAGAGACAGCUACGUUUACUACAAA